CCCUUAUCACAUUGAACUAAGUGCACAUCAAGGGCACUAUAUCUUUGCCUCAAAUAACCUCUCUAUUCUCCUAAUAUUCACAUGUCGCCAUGCAUUUCAAAAGAAACAAGUGACCACUGAGUGCAUAAAACAGACAUUUAAAUGUAAAUGCUGAAUCAUGAUCCUCUUAAUACUAACAUGCAUGUACCAGAACUAUGAGACACCACAAAUAGAAUCAUAGAAUACCAGUUUUCUUGUAUCCAUAUCCCUCUAGCCCAUUGAUUCUUCAUUAUAUUCCCAAGGCCUUCAGUUCAAGUCAGUCAUGUCACAGAAAAUCUAAUAAAGAAUUUAUGAGUAAGAUACAGGCAUGUGACGCAAGCAUAUAUGAAUGAACAGGAACUGUCUCAGAAACUGAAAGCAAAUAAACCAAAAGCAUGUUCAGAGACAUAAAACUGCUUGAGCCCUCCAGCUUACUGCUCCCACCAAAAUGGAUGUAAGUGAUGCUCUCCACUGGAUUAUCAUUAGGUGCAAAAUUUUAAUCACAAGACUUCUGCUAAUAAGAGAGUGCAAAAUAUUUUCGGAGCUUUAUGCCAAGACAGCCAUGGAAUAUAGAAGAUUGCCAAAUAUCAAAAAGGUAAAAGGACAAUAAAAAGGCCAGACUUUAAAUAUCUCAGCAUUGCAGUUUACCUCCACCAAAAAUCAGACAUUAUCUAACAUUUUUACGAGGCUUCUUUGCAGAAUAUAAGAGGGAGCCUGGUGACUUGGGUGCUUCACGCCUAGAACCAUUUGUUGCCAAUCCACAUUCGGAUUCAUCAUCAUCACUAUCAAUGUUAUUUGGAGUAACCCUAUUCUGUUGUGCUCUGCGCUGCAAAAGAAAUACAUUGAAGUAGUAGCCCACCAGAUCUUCCCUUCCCUUGGUAGGAAAGCAUUUGAAUAUCUCAUCCCAGAAACACUUAUCAAGAGAUGGGGGAUUUAACCGCACUAUAGCCUUAAACUUUCUCUCUUCUUCUUCUGUCCAGGAAAGUUUAACAUCUUCACCCAUCUUGUCAAACCUCCAAUGAUGGAAACCUGCCCCCAAUUCACGCUUCACCCUCAACCUUCUCUCAGCAUUAUGAAAUCUGACACAUUCUACAGAUUUUGGCACUUCACACCCACACGAAUCUUGCCUUCCCUUACCAAUAGGUUCUCGCUCAAUAACAAAUCGGUUGUCUACUUUUUCUGGUGGCCAAACUCGUGUCCCAGCCCACUUUGAGUCGCUUCCAGAAACAACACCAGUCCAUUCAGGUAUUUCAGCCUGAAAAUCAGGGCCUAAGGGAAUUGCCUUUUCAACAGGAAGGUAAACCACUGAAUAUUUAGUUGAAGAAGCACCAUCGCAAAUCCCUUUUGUGCAAGAGUCCAGGUCAGUUUCAGUGGUUGAGGAAGAUAAUUCUGAACAAGCCUGUGCCUGAAACACAGCUUUUCCGUGUAGCAGCUUCUCGCUACAUUUUAACCUCUGUCUGAAAUUGUAAGCGGAUCCAACUUGAUCAUCAUACAUGCAUGGGUGCAUCUUCCGAUUUUUCUGGCAAGUAGAUUUUUCAGCACUUGAAUCAACAUGUCUUUUUAGAAACAAUGCUUCACGAACCAACAAAACCUGCUUCCACAUUACCUCAUUCCCAUAAGACUCCCACUUCGACCUCUCUGGUAAUGAACCCACAACAGGUUCACAUGGAUUCUUUGCAAUCCCAGUAAUCCAGUUCACCACUCUACACAUGGAUUCCCUUUUCCUUUUACGACCCGAAAUAAAUCCCUCAACAGCAUCUGAAUCUAAUACGAUAACAUCAUUUUCAUCACCAUUGUCAUCUUUCUUGCUCCCAUCCAUUCCCACCACCACACUCUUGACCUCAUCCUCUUCCUCAUUACACACUUGCGCACUUGUUGAAUUGGAUUGCAGGUUUUCCUGAACAUCUUUACAUUUAUAGUUACCAACAGAAAAAGAAUCAAUGGCCAUGUUCUUUGCCAAAUUAUAGCCUAAUUUCCCAACUUCCACAAAAUCAACAACACUCUUUCCAGUUUCUAUGUGCUCAGAUUCUUCAUCAUCAACAAUACACUUCUCAUCCUCAUUUGAAUCCACCUCAGCACUCACAUUCAGUACAGAUUUCCAAUCGCUUAUAUUUGACAAUAACCCCUUAAACUCAGACUCUAAUUCCAUCGAAACCCCACCCACAUUUGGGUCACUAUCACUCUAUUGGUUUUUGAGUUGAUGAUAUCACUAGGUUUGGAUUUUGAAUUAUUUUCAUCAACAAGUCUCUCUAACCAUUUCUCUAAUGCAUUCAAAUGCUUGGAAUAAAUCAAUUUCAUAGAUGAUGCAAGGUUCAGUCCCGACCCAGACUCUUCAGCCACUACAUCCCACAAGCAAUUCUUAGAAAUACCAUCAUAUCUAACAUUUCAGCUUCUCAACCAAAAACAGUUUAAACAAAUCCACAAAUUGUCCAUCUCCAAGCAUAGGAGGGAAUGCACCAUCCAGGACACAUAUUUCUUUCCGGAAAAAUCUUAGAAAAUUAUCAAACUGGCAACGAAGCUUGGUUUUUAAUCCGGCCACUUGUGAAAACGAGUCAAGAGUGACCAGAAACCCUUUUGGACGGAGCUUCUUUAGUGGGAUUUUGGAGCAACCUAAGGCACACUUGUCAUCAGCAAUCAUCGACCACCCGAUUAAGCAUCUAGGUCAAGCGUAGAAGAUGGGAUUUUGGCGGGAAAAAAAGCUGAUCUAGGGUUUUGAACGCCGAAUAAAAUUUGUGGCAGCGCGCGCAAGCUCUGUGUUUAGUUGCAGAAUUAUAAAGAGGGGUACGUGCGAGAGACAGAAAAAAGAGUAAAGGGGCUAUAAUUCGAAUUUUCGAACAGAUGCAGACCCUCGCCUUUGGGUGGCUUGAGGCUCAGACUCACCACCCCCUUGCCCUUCUUUGGUAUUUUCUUUCUCUUCUUUGGCCUUGUGUUGUGCGCCUCAAAACCUCUUUGGUGCCUCAAAACCUUCUACAGUUUCUAUUGAAAAAAAAAA
This 3010-nucleotide unclassified non-coding RNA is filed under the name Hevea brasiliensis (rubber tree). Lineage: Eukaryota; Viridiplantae; Streptophyta; Magnoliopsida; Malpighiales; Euphorbiaceae. The record is from RNAcentral.